UUUUCUACACUACGAACAGAGUACAUUUGGUAGCAUUUUUUACGAAUUCCUUCUGUGGUAUAAAACACUUCCAUUGAAAUUAAAUAGUUCAGUCAUCAGUAGAUUAUACAACAAGAGUUGCGAGAAGGCGUGAUAGCUAACUUGCAUAAAGUAUAAACUAAUUUUGCAUAGAUCAAUUGCACAAUUACAUUCAAUCGCAGACAACAUUAUUCUUCAAAGAAAACUGUAUCCAAUGUCACCAUUACUCAAGUACACAAGCUCAAGGAAGUUUAAAUUAAUCACUCAACUUGCAAAUAUCAACGAACUUCUGUACUGCAUUAUGGUACUGGGUUCCCUGGAAUAUAGGACAGGCACAACAUGUUCAUAUGUUAGAAAAUCUAGAAUGCCAUAAUAAUAAAUCAGAGUAGAAUAAAUUUAUUUUUCUCUUUUCCUCUUUUGCAGUCAAACAAAUAAUUUUGAAACAUAUAAGAGGUCAACCAUAAAUGAAAAGGGAGAAUUUGAUUGGCUUACCGGAAGGAAAAAACAACUAUAAUAAUUGGUUUCCGUUAGAUUAAGGAAGCUUAUUUGAAUUUAUCUUAUGACAUAAACACUUGAUAAGGCGAUGAUAAAAUAGCAACUUGCAAACAAAUUGAACUUGUAAGCACUACCUCCCAAUAA
RNAcentral lists this long non-coding RNA (657 nucleotides) under Trifolium pratense (red clover). RNAcentral describes it as "long non-coding RNA (TPRA_LNC010444)". Lineage: Eukaryota; Viridiplantae; Streptophyta; Magnoliopsida; Fabales; Fabaceae. The record is from RNAcentral.